This 451-nucleotide ribosomal RNA is filed under the name Chaetoceros curvisetus. RNAcentral describes it as "partial Bacterial small subunit ribosomal RNA". It matches the Rfam family "Bacterial small subunit ribosomal RNA", at positions 493 to 943 of the family's 1533-position model. The record is from RNAcentral. Lineage: Eukaryota; Bacillariophyta; Thalassiosirophyceae; Chaetocerotales; Chaetocerotaceae.
CCGGCUAACUACGUGCCAGCAGCCGCGGUAAUACGUAGGUCCCGAGCGUUGUCCGGAAUUAUUGGGCGUAAAGGGCUCGUAGGUGGUUGAUCGCGUCGGAAGUGUAAUCUUGGGGCUUAACCCUGAGCGUGCUUUCGAUACGGGUUGACUUGAGGAAGGUAGGGGAGAAUGGAAUUCCUGGUGGAGCGGUGGAAUGCGCAGAUAUCAGGAGGAACACCAGUGGCGAAGGCGGUUCUCUGGGCCUUUCCUGACGCUGAGGAGCGAAAGCGUGGGGAGCGAACAGGAUUAGAUACCCUGGUAGUCCACGCUGUAAACGAUGUCGAUUUGGAGGUUGUGCCCUUGAGGCGUGGCUUCCGGAGCUAACGCGUUAAAUCGACCGCCUGGGGAGUACGGCCGCAAGGUUAAAACUCAAAGAAAUUGACGGGGGCCCGCACAAGCGGUGGAGCAUGUG